Molecule: ribosomal RNA, 703 nt
Filed under: uncultured bacterium
Lineage: Bacteria
Description: bacterial SSU rRNA
Rfam family: Bacterial small subunit ribosomal RNA
Source: RNAcentral
CAUGCAAGUCGAGCGGUAACAGGUGUAGCAAUACAUGCUGACGAGCGGCGAACGGGUGAGUAAUGCUUCGGAAUCUGCCCAUGUAGUGGGGAAUAACUAGCCGAAAGGUUAGCUAAUACCGCAUACGACCUACGGGUGAAAGCAGGGGAUCGCAAGACCUUGCGCUAUUGGAUGAGCCGAAGUCGGAUUAGCUAGUUGGUAGGGUAACGGCCUACCAAGGCGACAAUCCGUAGCUGGUCUGAGAGGACGACCAGCCACACUGGGACUGAGACACGGCCCAGACUCCUACGGGAGGCAGCAGUGGGGAAUAUUGGACAAUGGGGGCAACCCUGAUCCAGCGACGCCGCGUGUGUGAAGAAGGCCUGCGGGUUGUAAAGCACUUUUAGUGGGGAUGAAAAGCUCGGGGCUAAUACCUCCGGGUCUUGACCUAACCCAAAGAAAAAGCACCGGCUAACUCUGUGCCAGCAGCCGCGGUAAUACAGAGGGUGCGAGCGUUAAUCGGAAUUACUGGGCGUAAAGCGUGCGUAGAUGGUUAUGUAAGUCGGAUGUGAAAGCCCCGGGCUCAACCUGGGAAUUGCAUUCGAGACUGCAUAGCUAGGAUGCGGAAGAGGGAAGCGGAAUUUCCGGUGUAGCGGUGAAAUGCGUAGAUAUCGGANGGAACACCAGUGGCGAAAGCGGCUUCCUGGUCCAGCAUCGACGUUCA